This 76-nucleotide transfer RNA is filed under the name Ideonella livida. RNAcentral's name for it is "Ideonella sp. TBM-1 tRNA-Glu". It matches the Rfam family "tRNA". Rfam says of the family: Transfer RNA (tRNA) molecules are approximately 80 nucleotides in length. Their secondary structure includes four short double-helical elements and three loops (D, anti-codon, and T loops). Further hydrogen bonds mediate the characteristic L-shaped molecular structure. tRNAs have two regions of fundamental functional importance: the anti-codon, which is responsible for specific mRNA codon recognition, and the 3' end, to which the tRNAs corresponding amino acid is attached (by aminoacyl-tRNA synthetases). tRNAs cope with the degeneracy of the genetic code in two manners: having more than one tRNA (with a specific anti-codon) for a particular amino acid; and 'wobble' base-pairing, i.e. permitting non-standard base-pairing at the 3rd anti-codon position. Lineage: Bacteria; Pseudomonadati; Pseudomonadota; Betaproteobacteria; Burkholderiales; Sphaerotilaceae. The record is from RNAcentral.
GUCCCCUUCGUCUAGAGGCCUAGGACACGACCCUUUCACGGUUGUAACAGGGGUUCGAAUCCCCUAGGGGAUACCA